GUCUCUGACCUGUUCCUCCUCCGAGGUGACCUCUAUCCUGAAUUUUGAAAACAUAUUAGUAUUGCCUGUUUCUGGACUUUGUGCAGAUGAAGUCAUUGGUUCUCCCUCUGUCACCCAGAGCUGGAGUGCGGUGGCAUAAUCACAGCUAAUUGCAGCCUCAACAUUCCAGGCCCAAGGAUCCUCCCUUCAGCCUUCCAGAUGGAGUGUCGCUCUCUCACCCAGGCUGGAGUGCAGUGGCGCUAUCUUGGCUCACUGCAACAUCUGCUUCCCAGGUUCAAGUGAUUAUCCUGCCUCAGCCUCCCAAGUUGCUGGGAUUACAGGCGUGUGCCACCACGCCUGGCUAAUUUACUAAACUAAUAAAUUACUAAAUUAGUAAGUUACUAGUAAAUUAGUAAUUACUAAAAUAUAAUUUUUAGUAGAGAUGGGAUUUCAUCAUGUUGGCCAGGCUGGUCAUGAACUCCUGACCUCAAUGGAUCCUCCUGCCUCAGCUUCCUGAGUAGCUGGGACCACAGGUGCACACCACCACGCCCAGGUAAUUAAUUUUUAUUUUUUGUAGAGUCGGGGGUCUCCCUAUGUUUCCCAGGCUGGCCUCGAACUCCUGACCUCAAGUGAUCCUCCCACCUCAGCCUCCCCGAGUGCUGGGAUUAAAGACGUGAGCCACGGCACCUGGCCUGAAUUUUCCUCAAAUUCAAAAAAUCCUGAUGAAGGUUUGGCUAAAAUCUUUGGUGAGUUACCCCACUCCCUGUGGAACCUCAGGCUGGAUUUGAAGAGUUGCGUGCAUGGUCCUCAUUGUCUCCCAGGUAACCUGUUCCCGCUGCUGUGAAGGGAAGGCAGGUGCUCUUCCUUGAGGCUAGAAUCUGUCUACGUGUCACAGUCUCAGGAAAUUAAGCAAAACAGAUGAUAAACACCUCAAAAGGACCCUACUGAGCAUC
This 932-nucleotide small RNA is filed under the name Homo sapiens (human). RNAcentral's name for it is "chromosome 2 open reading frame 92 (ENSG00000291598.1)". Lineage: Eukaryota; Metazoa; Chordata; Mammalia; Primates; Hominidae. The record is from RNAcentral.